Molecule: ribosomal RNA, 493 nt
Filed under: uncultured Gemella sp.
Lineage: Bacteria; Bacillati; Bacillota; Bacilli; Caryophanales; Gemellaceae
Description: bacterial SSU rRNA
Rfam family: Bacterial small subunit ribosomal RNA
Source: RNAcentral
ACGCUGGCGGCGUGCCUAAUACAUGCAAGUCGAGUCGAAGUUUUUCUGUGCUUGCACUAGAAAACUUAGCGGCGAACGGGUGAGUAACACGUAAAGAACCUGCCUCAUAGACUGGGACAACUAUUGGAAACGAUAGCUAAUACCGGAUAACAGCAUUAACUGCAUGGUUGAUGUUUAAAAGUUGGUUAUGCUAACACUAUGAGAUGGCUUUGCGGUGCAUUAGCUAGUUGGUGGGGUAAAGGCCUACCAAGGCGACGAUGUAUAGCCGACCUGAGAGGGUGAUCGGCCACACUGGGACUGAGACACGGCCCAGACUCCUACGGGAGGCAGCAGUAGGGAAUCUUCCGCAAUGGGCGAAAGCCUGACGGAGCAACGCCGCGUGAGUGAAGAAGGAUUUCGGUUCGUAAAGCUCUGUUGUUAGGGAAGAAUGAUUGUGUAGUAACUAUACGCAGUAGAGACGGUACCUAACCAGAAAGCCACGGCUAACUACGUG